RNAcentral lists this long non-coding RNA (4324 nucleotides) under Homo sapiens (human). Its description in RNAcentral is "non-protein coding XIST:59". Lineage: Eukaryota; Metazoa; Chordata; Mammalia; Primates; Hominidae. The record is from RNAcentral.
GUACUGACCCACUAAGGCCCCUUGUACUGUUAAUGUGAAUAUUUGCAAUUAUAUAUGUCUCCUUCUGGUAGAGUGGGAUAUUAUGCCCUAGUAUCCCCUUUGCAUUACUGCAGGGGCUGCUGACUACUCAAAACUUCUCCUGGGACUGUUAAUAGGCACAAUGGCAGUUAUCAAUGGUUUUCUCCCUCCCUGACCUUGUUAAGCAAGCGCCCCACCCCACCCUUAGUUUCCCAUGGCAUAAUAAAGUAUAAGCAUUGGAGUAUUCCAUGCACUUGUCUAUCAAACAGUGGUCCAUACUCCCAACCCUUUUGCAUUGCGCCAGUGUGUAAAAUCACAGGUAGCCAUGGUGUCAUGCUUUAUAUACGAAGUCUUCCCUCUCUCUGCCCCUUGUGUGCCCUUGGCCCCUUUUUACAGACUAUUGCUCACAAUCUCAGGUGUCCAUAUUUGCAGCUAUUAGGUAAGAUUGUGCUGUCUCCCUCUUCCCUUCCCUCUGCCCUGCCCCUUUUGCCUCUUUGCUGGGUAAUGUUGACCAGACAAGGCCCUUUCUCUUGGACUUAAACAAUUCUCAGUUGCACUUUCCUUGGUCCCACCCAUUAUACAUGAACCCCUCUACUUCCUUUCGCAUUGCUUCUGAGUAUGCUGACUACCCAAAGCCCCUUCUGUGUUAUUAAUAAACACAGUACUGAUUGUCCCAUUUUUCAGCCCAUCAGUCCAAGAUCUCCCUACCACUUUGGUGUGUUGGUGCAGUGUUGACUAUGAAAAGCAGGCCUGAACUAGGUGGAUAAGCCUUCACUCAUUUUCUUUCAUUUAUUAAUGAUCCUAGUUUCAAUUAUUGUCAGAUUCUGGGGACAAGAACCAUUCUUGCCCACCUGUGUUACUGCUUUACUGUGCAAAAUACUGAAGGCAAGUCAGACCCAGGGAGCUGGAUUGCCAUCCUUUAUUUUGUGUUUCCAGUGUACACUAUAAAAUUGUCUCCCCAGGAAGGAAGGUUGGCACUUUCUCUGCAUUCUUCUUUCCAGAGCAGAUUGCCUGGUUAAGAAUCUCUUGUUGUCCCCUUUGUAUAUUGUUAUUGUAAAGUGCCAAAUGCCAGGAUACAGCCAGAAAAAUUGCUUAUUAUUAUUAAAAAAAUUUUUUUAAGAAAGACAUCUGGAUUGUAGGGUGGACUCGAUAACCUGGUCAUUAUUUUUUUGAAGCCAAAAUAUCCAUUUAUACUAUGUACCUGGUGACCAGUGUCUCUCAUUUUAACUGAGGGUGGUGGGUCUGUGGAUAGAACACUGACUCUUGCUAUUUUAAUAUCAAAGAUAUUCUAGAGUGGAACUCUUAAGACCAGUAUCUUUGUGUGGGCUUUACCAGCAUUCACUUUUAGAAAAACUACCUAAAUUUUAUAAUCCUUUAAUUUCUUCAUCUGGAGCACCUGCCCCUACUUAUUUCAAGAAGAUUGCAGUAAAACGAUUAAAUGAGGGAACAUAUGCAGAGGUGCUUUUAAAAAGCAUAUGCCACCUUUUUUAUUAAUUAUUAUAUAAAAUGAAGCAUUUAAUUAUAGUAAUAAUUUGAAGUAGUUUGAAGUACCACACUGAGGUGAGGACUUAAAAAUGAUAAGACGAGUUCCCUAUUUUAUAAGAAAAAUAAGCCAAAAUUAAAUAUUCUUUUGGAUAUAAAUUUCAACAGUGAGAUAGCUGCCUAGUGGAAAUGAAUAAUAUCCCAGCCACUAGUGUACAGGGUGUUUUGUGGCACAGGAUUAUGUAAUAUGGAACUGCUCAAGCAAAUAACUAGUCAUCACAACAGCAGUUCUUUGUAAUAACUGAAAAAGAAUAUUGUUUCUCGGAGAAGGAUGUCAAAAGAUCGGCCCAGCUCAGGGAGCAGUUUGCCCUACUAGCUCCUCGGACAGCUGUAAAGAAGAGUCUCUGGCUCUUUAGAAUACUGAUCCCAUUGAAGAUACCACGCUGCAUGUGUCCUUAGUAGUCAUGUCUCCUUAGGCUCCUCUUGGACAUUCUGAGCAUGUGAGACCUGAGGACUGCAAACAGCUAUAAGAGGCUCCAAAUUAAUCAUAUCUUUCCCUUUGAGAAUCUGGCCAAGCUCCAGCUAAUCUACUUGGAUGGGUUGCCAGCUAUCUGGAGAAAAAGGUGGAGAUGGGGCAUGAGGAUCCUCCAGGGGAAAAGCUCACUACCACUGGGCAACAACCCUAGGUCAGGAGGUUCUGUCAAGAUACUUUCCUGGUCCCAGAUAGGAAGAUAAAGUCUCAAAAACAACCACCACACGUCAAGCUCUUCAUUGUUCCUAUCUGCCAAAUCAUUAUACUUCCUACAAGCAGUGCAGAGAGCUGAGUCUUCAGCAGGUCCAAGAAAUUUGAACACACUGAAGGAAGUCAGCCUUCCCACCUGAAGAUCAACAUGCCUGGCACUCUAGCACUUGAGGAUAGCUGAAUGAAUGUGUAUUUCUUUGUCUCUUUCUUUCUUGUCUUUGCUCUUUGUUCUCUAUCUAAAGUGUGUCUUACCCAUUUCCAUGUUUCUCUUGCUAAUUUCUUUCGUGUGUGCCUUUGCCUCAUUUUCUCUUUUUGUUCACAAGAGUGGUCUGUGUCUUGUCUUAGACAUAUCUCUCAUUUUUCAUUUUGUUGCUAUUUCUCUUUGCUCUCCUAGAUGUGGCUCUUCUUUCACGCUUUAUUUCAUGUCUCCUUUUUGGGUCACAUGCUGUGUGCUUUUUGUCCUUUUCUUGUUCUGUCUACCUCUCCUUUCUCUGCCUACCUCUCUUUUCUCUUUGUGAACUGUGAUUAUUUGUUACCCCUUCCCCUUCUCGUUCGUUUUAAAUUUCACCUUUUUUCUGAGUCUGGCCUCCUUUCUGCUGUUUCUACUUUUUAUCUCACAUUUCUCAUUUCUGCAUUUCCUUUCUGCCUCUCUUGGGCUAUUCUCUCUCUCCUCCCCUGCGUGCCUCAGCAUCUCUUGCUGUUUGUGAUUUUCUAUUUCAGUAUUAAUCUCUGUUGGCUUGUAUUUGUUCUCUGCUUCUUCCCUUUCUACUCACCUUUGAGUAUUUCAGCCUCUUCAUGAAUCUAUCUCCCUCUCUUUGAUUUCAUGUAAUCUCUCCUUAAAUAUUUCUUUGCAUAUGUGGGCAAGUGUACGUGUGUGUGUGUCAUGUGUGGCAGAGGGGCUUCCUAACCCCUGCCUGAUAGGUGCAGAACGUCGGCUAUCAGAGCAAGCAUUGUGGAGCGGUUCCUUAUGCCAGGCUGCCAUGUGAGAUGAUCCAAGACCAAAACAAGGCCCUAGACUGCAGUAAAACCCAGAACUCAAGUAGGGCAGAAGGUGGAAGGCUCAUAUGGAUAGAAGGCCCAAAGUAUAAGACAGAUGGUUUGAGACUUGAGACCCGAGGACUAAGAUGGAAAGCCCAUGUUCCAAGAUAGAUAGAAGCCUCAGGCCUGAAACCAACAAAAGCCUCAAGAGCCAAGAAAACAGAGGGUGGCCUGAAUUGGACCGAAGGCCUGAGUUGGAUGGAAGUCUCAAGGCUUGAGUUAGAAGUCUUAAGACCUGGGACAGGACACAUGGAAGGCCUAAGAACUGAGACUUGUGACACAAGGCCAACGACCUAAGAUUAGCCCAGGGUUGUAGCUGGAAGACCUACAACCCAAGGAUGGAAGGCCCCUGUCACAAAGCCUACCUAGAUGGAUAGAGGACCCAAGCGAAAAAGGAGCAGACAUUCAUAUAGGUGAUACUGUAUUUCAGUCCUUUCUUUUGACCCCAGAAGCCCUAGACUGAGAAGAUAAAAUGGUCAGGUUGUUGGGGAAAAAAAAGUGCCAGGCUCUCUAGAGAAAAAUGUGAAGAGAUGCUCCAGGCCAAUGAGAAGAAUUAGACAAGAAAUACACAGAUGUGCCAGACUUCUGAGAAGCACCUGCCAGCAACAGCUUCCUUCUUUGAGCUUAGUUUCUGGCAUCACUACCACUACUGAUUAAACAAGAAUAAGAGAACAUUUUAUCAUCAUCUGCUUUAUUCACAUAAAUGAAGUUGUGAUGAAUAAAUCUGCUUUUAUGCAGACACAAGGAAUUAAGUGGCUUCGUCAUUGUCCUUCUACCUCAAAGAUAAUUUAUUCCAAAAGCUAAGAUAAAUGGAAGACUCUUGAACUUGUGAACUGAUGUGAAAUGCAGAAUCUCUUUUGAGUCUUUGCUGUUUGGAAGAUUGAAAAAUAUUGUUCAGCAUGGGUGACCACCAGAAAGUAAUCUUAAGCCAUCUAGAUGUCACAAUUGAAACAAACUGGGGAGUUGGUUGCUAUUGUAAAAUAAAAUAUACUGUUUUGAAAACUUUGUAUUUUGAUGUGACAAUUUCUAACUCACUGUCCCUAA